Molecule: small nuclear RNA, 198 nt
Organism: Bos grunniens (domestic yak)
Lineage: Eukaryota; Metazoa; Chordata; Mammalia; Artiodactyla; Bovidae
Gene: U2
Rfam family: U2 spliceosomal RNA
About the family: U2 is a small nuclear RNA (snRNA) component of the spliceosome (involved in pre-mRNA splicing). Complementary binding between U2 snRNA (in an area lying towards the 5' end but 3' to hairpin I) and the branchpoint sequence (BPS) of the intron results the bulging out of an unpaired adenosine, on the BPS, which initiates a nucleophilic attack at the intronic 5' splice site, thus starting the first of two transesterification reactions that mediate splicing.
Source: Ensembl
AUUCCUUCUUGGCCUUUUGGCUAAGAUCAAGUGUAAAAACAGUAAUAUAACACAGCUGCUUAAAAAGACUCUGACUUCAGAAAAAGGAUCAACAUUUUUAUUAAAACGAUCACUAAAAGAAAUCUAAUAUAGUGAACUUACUUUUCUGACAGAUGCUCUAGUUUUCAUGUGAUUGUUCCUGAAAGACUGGAAGGUCGC